This 519-nucleotide ribosomal RNA is filed under the name uncultured Glomeromycotina. RNAcentral's name for it is "SSU rRNA". It matches the Rfam family "Eukaryotic small subunit ribosomal RNA", at positions 569 to 1092 of the family's 1831-position model. The record is from RNAcentral. Lineage: Eukaryota; Fungi; Glomeromycota.
AGCAGCCGCGGUAAUUCCAGCUCCAAUAGCGUAUAUUAAAGUUGUUGCAGUUAAAAAGCUCGUAGUUGAAUUUCGGGAUUAGUACGUUGGUCGUGCCUUCGGUACGUACUGGUGUUACUGAUUCCUACCUUCUGACGAACCAUCAUGUCAUUAAUUUGGUGUGGCGGGGAAUCAGGACUGUUACUUUGAAAAAAUUAGAGUGUUUAAAGCAGGCUCGCGCUUGAAUACAUUAGCAUGGAAUAAUGAAAUAGGACGUUGACCCUAUUUUGUUGGUUUCUAGGAUUGACGUAAUGAUUAAUAGGGAUAGUUGGGGGCAUUAGUAUCCAAUUGUCAGAGGUGAAAUUCUUGGAUUUAUUGAAGACUAACUACUGCGAAAGCAUUUGCCAAGGAUGUUUUCAUUAAUCAAGAACGAAAGUUAGGGGAUCGAAGACGAUCAGAUACCGUCGUAGUCUUAACCAUAAACUAUGCCGACUAGGGAUCGGAUGAUGUUAUUUUUAAUGACUCAUUCGGCGCCUUACG